GCCAGGUGUGGUGGUGUGCGCCUGUAAUCCCAGCUACUCGGGAGGCUGAGGCAGGAGAAUUGCUUGAACUCGGGAGCCAGAGACUGCAGUGAGCUGAUAAUCGUGCCACUGCACUCUAGCCCGGGCGACAGAGCAAGACUCUGUCUCAA
Pan troglodytes (chimpanzee) is the source of this 149-nucleotide non-coding RNA. It matches the Rfam family "Metazoan signal recognition particle RNA". Rfam says of the family: The signal recognition particle (SRP) is a universally conserved ribonucleoprotein. It is involved in the co-translational targeting of proteins to membranes. Lineage: Eukaryota; Metazoa; Chordata; Mammalia; Primates; Hominidae. The record is from Rfam.